GGGGCGGAGGGCCCGGCGGGGCAGGGCGGCAGGUGCCGCGGGAGGAUGGCGGCUGGAGACCCGGAGCAGGCGAGAUACUGCGGGAGGCUCUCCUACCUGUGCCUCAAGCUGACCCUCAUCACCUACUCCACCACGUUCUGGGUGAUCGGAGCCCUCGUCCUCGCCGUUGGGAUUUAUGCAGAAAUUGAAAGACAGAAGUACAAAACUCUAGAAAGUGCCUUUCUAGCCCCAGCAAUUAUUUUAAUACUUCUGGGCAUUGUAAUGUUCCUGGUAUCCUUUGUGGGUGUACUGGCUUCUCUAAGAGACAAUUUAUGCCUUCUGCAAGCAUUCAUGUACAUCCUGGGCAUCUGCUUGCUGAUCGAGCUGACAGGUGGAGUGGUGGCCCUGAUCUUCAGGAACCAGACAAUCAAAUUUUUGAAUGAUAACAUCAGAAGAGGAAUUGAGAAUUACUACGAUGAUUUAGACUUCAAGAACAUCAUGGAUUCUGUUCAAAAGCAGUUUAAGUGCUGUGGUGGGGAAGAUUAUAGAGAUUGGUCCCAAAAUGUGUACCACAACUGUGAAGCUCCAGGACCACUGGCCUGUGGGGUGCCCUACACUUGCUGCAUCAGAAAUAAGAAACCAAAGCGGAACAGCCAUGCUUUGAGUCCUAGUUUGGGAGCAAGAAUCUGCAGCUGGAUGGAGCAGAACAACUCAGGAUUUUGCCUUCAGGAAAGGGAAAGCACCGAAAUAAAAACUUCUCCAGGGAAAAACAAGGAGUAUAUUCUCCCUGUGCUACACUGGCAGCUGGGGAGGGGUGGGAUUAGGCUGCUUGUAGCCCAAAAAGCCCAGGGCAAUAAAUGGAAAGGCAGGGAGAAGCCCCAGAUGGAAGUGUGGCUCAUCCAGGUGAGGGCUGGUGGCUCUCAGCGGGGAGAUGCUGUUGCUGUGCUCGAGGCAGGGUAACACCAGCACCGGGGCUGUGCACGGCUGCCUCAGGGAAAAAACCGACCACAAGAGGCAUCAAUCUUGUCUGUUUGACAAAUCCUUCCAAAUACAGGCUGGUUUCUGUCCUGGAAAGCUACAGAUAUGGUUUGUGAUUACUCAUUGGCUUUGUAGUCAUGGAAAACUCCUGCUAAUGUCGGUGCCUGGCUUCUGAUCCUCUGUAAAAACCUCCUGCUAACACCAGCCAGCUCCUACUGGGGAGGCUGUAAAGGAACUGUGUCUAAAUCAAAUUAUUUAUUAAAGACUUACACCAGUGUAGCAGGUAGAAAUCAGUCCCAAAUGCCUAUAAACCUCUCUUUGCAAUGCAUUUAUCUGUGUUUAUGCCACAGCGUCCUGUUAGCAAAUCCUGCGUUUCGAGUUAGACGAGGGGGCUGCGUUCCUUGUGGUCACGUAUUUUGGGAGUGACCACGUGUCAGCUGCUCAGGCUUCAGCAGUUUUGGGAACAUGAAAUCACUCACAGGCAGCACAACACGCUGGUGCCUGAUACUGCUGCUGAUUUCCAAGUGUAUUUGUGAGCUGUGGUUGGCAGAUGGGUGCCCCACACCGUUUCCCAACAGCCCUGUGGAGUAGUCCCAGCUUUUUCUUCUGGGAAUGUGCUGAACCUUGUUUGUCAGCCAGUUGUAUGUUCAAGGUGAGAGCCCAGCUUUCUGGGGGGCUUAAAAACUUCCCUUUUCCCUCCAUGUCUUUGGCUCUAUUUUCUAUUUCCUUUGAUGCCAGUGGGUUUUUACAUGGGAUGAUUUUUAAAUGAAGGAGAGUAUUUUUCCAGGCUGGCUUUUCCAGGCUUUCAAGGCAGAACCUUGGAACCCACAAAAGGCAUGAUAUGGCUACAGAAAAUGCAUUAAUAAUCUGUGGUGAGGGCAAGCCCUCUUUUUAUAACCUCUUUUAAAUAUAUAGGUUUUAUAUUCAGUAUAUAAUGGUAUUGUGUGAAUAUCAUAAUGAGCUUAAUCUUGUAAAAAACCUUCAAUUAUGGGAGUUAUUUGAAACUGAAGAUAUUUCUGAGCUUAAAUUUGUCAUUGUCUUGGCAUGAAGGCUGUGUUAACCCCUGGUUUUAUUAAUAAGGUGUGUUAAGUUAUUAAAGCUUUAAAAGGAAAUCCAGCUGUGGAAACAUCUGUGUCACACAGCUCUGUGCCACCCUGGUGUUUUGGAUAGAAAUGGUUCCAAUGUCUUGUGACACACUGACAAUACUCAUUCCUCUAAAAUCUUACUGAAUCUGACCCUGGGGUUGCUGGGAUAAACUGGUGUUGGACUGGGAAAUAAUUUACGUGAGCUGGGUGAACACGGAGUAAAAAGAAUAUUUUUGUGUUUCUCAUUUCCUGCUGCAAUUCAUAUUUAUUGUUUUCUUUUCAGACAGACAUUAUCAACACUAUGUGUGGAUACAAAACCAUUGACCAAGAGCGCCUGAGCGUUCAGAACGUUAUCUACGUCCGAGGGUGCACCAAUGCUGUGCUCAUUUGGUUUUUGGACAACUACAG
Molecule: RNA transcript, 2450 nt
Organism: Parus major (Great Tit)
Lineage: Eukaryota; Metazoa; Chordata; Aves; Passeriformes; Paridae
Gene: TSPAN15
Gene name: tetraspanin 15
Exons: 7
Source: RefSeq, a predicted model, not a curated record